This 1598-nucleotide long non-coding RNA is filed under the name Elaeis guineensis (African oil palm). RNAcentral's name for it is "long non-coding RNA (EGUI_LNC022085)". Lineage: Eukaryota; Viridiplantae; Streptophyta; Magnoliopsida; Arecales; Arecaceae. The record is from RNAcentral.
GAUCCUUGGACGUUAGUGAGUCACAAAAUAAUUUUUAAUAAAUUUUGAGAUCUUUUAACCUAUUCGUUCUAAAGAAGGAAAGUUUUAAAAAUUUCAGAUUUGAAAAAAAAUUGAACUAAAACUCAAGUUUUGACUUCUUAUUCUUAAAGAUUUUAAUUUUUCUAAUAUUUUUAUUGAUUUCAAAUAAGAGAUAUUUUUUUAUUUACAUUUAUAUUUUAAAGUUAAUGGGCACCUACAUGAGGAUGUAAGCGCCUACAUCCUAUAUCAGGGAUGUAGGCACCUACAUCCCGGACGCCUACAUGAGGAUGUAGGCACCUACAUCCUGGAUGUAGGCGCCAGGGAUGUAGGCGCCCACAAAGAUAGAUGUAGGCGCCUACAUCCACUAUAUUGGGUCCAAUUUUAGGUGCCUUCCUUCCAUCAUUUUUGCAUUCAUUGAAUCCAACCCAAGUCACCAAACUAGUUCGAAAUAUCGACUCUUAUUCUUCCCCUCAAGAUCCCUAUCUCACCGUCUCCACAACUAUCGUACUAUCUCCACUCACAUCUUAAAUCGUAAACCAAAAAUCUCCUUUUCAAACCAAAAACUUCCUUCCCAUCUCCUUCUCGGCCAAUCUUCAACCUGAUGGCUCUGAAGAUGCGUCUUCCCCAACGCCAAAGAGCAACCAGAAAUGAAGAAGCAGGAAAAGAGGAGCAAGUGAAGCAUCAGCUUCAUCACCUCCUUCAAGAUCACCUCCUCCAAGAACUCCAGUGACAAAAAUAUUCUCUAAGGCCGUAUUGUUGAUAUGAAUUUUUUAGACUUAGAGGGAUUUGAGAUUGCAAACUUAAUUAGAGUUAUGGGAUGAAAAUUCAUGUCCACAGUUUAAGCCCCAAUAUUUAUGAAGUUAGUUAGAGAGUUUUAUAAGAAUAUUUUAUUUGAAGAAGAAACCGUAUCAUCUUUGGUGAAAGAAAAGAAAAUUUAUUUUGAUGAUAAAAUACUAAGAUAAAUUUUGAAACAAGAAAAUUUAUUUUGAUGAUGAAAUAUUAAGAUAAAUUUUGAAACUUUCAACUGUAAGUGACCUACGGGACAGUAGAAGAGAUAGAAGUGCAAGAAUAGUUUCUAUUCUUAGGGUAAAUGAUCACAGUCAAUUCUGUAAAAUUUAUGAAUGACACUUAAAUAUUAAAAUGUGACUCCUCCAUAUCAACCUAAAAUAGGAUUUGAUACUGUAACAGAGAGGGACUUAGCAAUUAUAUAUCAUGUAGUCCAAUGCAUCCCACUCAACUUUCUAAAAAUGAUCAUCAAGACUAUGCAAAAAGCAGUGGAUAGAGCACAGAUAUCCCUACCUUAUGCCAUGAUUUUAACCCAUAUCUUUAAAUAUUAUAGAGUAAAGAGUAAGGAUUCAGAGUGAACAAUCAACAAAAUUAGGCAGAGGUAGCAAAAUCAAUGAAGAAGCCCUCCACAAAAUGCAUUGAUUUAAAAUUGAUGGUGAGUAGAUUAGAAAGGAUGGAAGCAAAGAACAUGUAGAGGAGGAUAUUUCAGCUGAUAAAGAAAGACCUCAAUAUAGGAGUGAAGCAAGACCUUUCAGGUCUACGGAGCGUGUAGAACCUAUUAAGCAAGUGAAGAU